AUACGUAGGGUGCGAGCGUUGUCCGGAAUUACUGGGCGUAAAGAGCUCGUAGGUGGUUUGUCGCGUCGUCUGUGAAAUUCCGGGGCUUAACUCCGGGCGUGCAGGCGAUACGGGCAUAACUUGAGUACUGUAGGGGAGACUGGAAUUCCUGGUGUAGCGGUGAAAUGCGCAGAUAUCAGGAGGAACACCGGUGGCGAAGGCGGGUCUCUGGGCAGUAACUGACGCUGAGGAGCGAAAGCAUGGGUAGCGAACAGGAUUAGAUACCCUGGUAGUCCAUGCCGUAAACGGUGGGCGCUAGGUGUAGGGGUCUUCCACGACUUCUGUGCCGUAGCUAACGCAUUAAGCGCCCCGCCUGGGGAGUACGGCCGCAAGGCUAAAACUCAAAUGAAUGGGCGGGG
Molecule: ribosomal RNA, 398 nt
Filed under: uncultured bacterium
Lineage: Bacteria
Description: partial 16S ribosomal RNA
Rfam family: Bacterial small subunit ribosomal RNA
Source: RNAcentral